UACGUAGGUGACCAGCGUUGUCCGGAUUUACUGGGCGUAAAGAGCGCGCAGGCGGUCGUUCAAGUCGAGUGUGAAAGCCCCCGGCUCAACUGGGGAGGGUCAUUCGAUACUGAUCGACUGGAAGGCAGGAGAGGGAAGCGGAAUUCCCGGUGUAGUGGUGAAAUGCGCAGAUAUCGGGAGGAACACCUAUGGCGAAGGCAGCUCGCUGGGACGUUACUGACGCUGAGACGCGAAAGCGUGGGGAGCAAACAGG
Molecule: ribosomal RNA, 253 nt
Filed under: uncultured bacterium
Lineage: Bacteria
Description: partial 16S ribosomal RNA
Rfam family: Bacterial small subunit ribosomal RNA
Source: RNAcentral